GAUGAACGCUGGCGGCGUGCUUAACACAUGCAAGUCGAACGUGAGGGGGAGCAAUCUCCUGAAAGUGGCGAACGGGUGAGUAACACGUAGGUGACCUGCCUCGGAGUGGGGGAUAACAGUUGGAAACGGCUGCUAAUACCGCAUAAGGUGAGUAAAGCGGGAGCUUUGCUUGCGAAAACUCUGGUGCUUCGAGAGGGGCCUGCGUCCGAUUAGCUAGUUGGUGGGGUAAAGGCCUACCAAGGCGAUGAUCGGUAGCUGGUCUGAGAGGACGAUCAGCCACACGGGAACUGAGAAACGGUCCCGACUCCUACGGGGGGCAGCAGUGAGGAAUAUUGGGCAAUGGGCGGAAGCCUGACCCAGCAACGCCGCGUGGAGGAUGAAGGCUUUCGGGUCGUAACUCCUUUUAUGGGGGAAGAGCGAGGACGGUACCCCAGAUAGUCACGCUUAACUACGUG
This 455-nucleotide ribosomal RNA is filed under the name uncultured bacterium. Its description in RNAcentral is "bacterial SSU rRNA". It matches the Rfam family "Bacterial small subunit ribosomal RNA", at positions 28 to 507 of the family's 1533-position model. The record is from RNAcentral.